This 306-nucleotide ribosomal RNA is filed under the name uncultured bacterium. RNAcentral describes it as "partial 16S ribosomal RNA". It matches the Rfam family "Bacterial small subunit ribosomal RNA", at positions 507 to 807 of the family's 1533-position model. The record is from RNAcentral.
GACAGCAGUAGCCGCGGGAAUACGAAGGGUGCAAGCGUUACUCGGAAUUACUGGGCGUAAAGCGUGCGUAGGUGGUGGUUUAAGUCCGUUGUGAAAGCCCUGGGCUCAACCUGGGAAUUGCAGUGGAUACUGGGUCACUAGAGUGUGGUAGAGGAUAGUGGAAUUUCCGGUGUAGCAGUGAAAUGCGUAGAGAUCGGAAGGAACAUCUGUGGCGAAGGCGACUAUCUGGGCCAACACUGACACUGAGGCACGAAAGCGUGGGGAGCAAACAGGAUUAGAUACCCGUGUAGUCCCUGUCUCUUAUAC